This 334-nucleotide ribosomal RNA is filed under the name uncultured Symbiodinium. Its description in RNAcentral is "partial Eukaryotic large subunit ribosomal RNA". It matches the Rfam family "Eukaryotic large subunit ribosomal RNA", at positions 1127 to 1462 of the family's 3401-position model. Lineage: Eukaryota; Dinophyceae; Suessiales; Symbiodiniaceae. The record is from RNAcentral.
UGGGCCAUUUUUGGUAAGCAGAACUGGCGAUGAGGGAUGCACCUAACGUGGAGUUAAGGCGCCCAAACCCGCAAUAAUUCGACACCAAAAAAGGAGUUGAUUCAUUAAGACAGCAGGACGGUGUCCCUGAAAGUAGGAAUCCGCUAAGUAGUGUCUUACAACUAACCUGCCGAAUGAAUCAGCCCUGAAAAUGGAUGGCGCUACAUUGCGGUGCCGAUACUCCACCAUCAGAGCAAAUAUGACGCUUUGAUGUGUAAGGGGGCGUGGGAGUAGUGUAGAAGCUGUGACGUGAGUCGAGGUGGAACUGCUCUUAGUGCAGAUCUUGGUGGUAGUA